Molecule: long non-coding RNA, 2596 nt
Organism: Ostrea edulis (European flat oyster)
Lineage: Eukaryota; Metazoa; Mollusca; Bivalvia; Ostreida; Ostreidae
Exons: 3
Source: RefSeq, a predicted model, not a curated record
UUGUAGACAGUUAGCAGAGGCUGUUAGCUGUCACGUGCCUGGCAUAUGAAAUUCUAUACAUAACGGACAUUUUCUAAUGUCGAUUAGUAUGAAGAUGUUUUCGUAAUUACGAAAUAAUCUAUUGGCCACGAAAAGUACAUGUGAACACGUAAUCACGAUUUAAUUUUCUCUCUCUCUCUCUCGCAACGGUGAUUAACUUGUAAUCACGAAAAUAAUAAACUAUCGCGUUAUUUUCUUCUUCUUUAGGAUUUCCAUACAAUCAUCAAUGUUGCGAAAGCUGAACAUUAAUCUGGUACAAUAUACGGCGUUUAAUAUAACCAUUUUCUUAACAUAUGAUGGACAUGUAGAAAUCAAGUACACGUACAACUUUAAUGUUUUACUCCACAAACGAUAGAACAAAGACAAGCACAAUAUACUGUACAGGUGUGAAUAUAAUGUUGAUAGAACGAAGACAAACACAAUAUUGUCCAUGUGUAUAUAAUAUAUAUGCUGAUAGAAGUUGGGGCGGGCAUUGUUAAAUAAUUUUCAACGAAAAAAAGGCAUUGUCCGACAGCAUCAACUUUUGUUGUAGAACCUUUAAUUAUUAAUAAACCUAUCAGAAAUCAAUUGAUUUUCGUGAAAACUAAUCCGCAACACUUGCGAUCGGGGAAAUCCAGGUAAGUGCACGCGCACCUGUUGAUAUUUAAUUUCACGUCAACACCGAUCAGCCAUUAUUAGCGGGGAUAUUGGUGAGGCAGGCCAUGUGCUACAAAGUGAAAUGUAAGAAAUGUCAGCGAUUCACCUGGACAGGGUGCGGGCGUCAUAUUGAGCUGGUUUUAGAAGAUGUACCUGUUGAAGAAAGAUGUCAUUGUAAAAAGUCCGGGAAAUGUUCAAUAUUAUAGCAUCACUUUUCAUGGAGAUGAAACGGAGAAGAAAAGCGGAGCCAUUUCUACUUCAUGAAUACCUAUACAUCCCAUAUAUCUGCGGUUUGUGCCAAACAAUUAUUCACAUGAGCAAAUAUUUAUUUGCAGUCUUGAAUUUGAUUCACCCAAAUUCUUCAUAAUGUACAUGUAUAAUUCAUCAAUUUGUUUUGCAUUUAGAUUUCACAAAAAUGUAUGCCUUUUAGCUCUAGCCAAUUCAAAUUAUUUUUUGUGAAGAUACAUUUUUAUAUAAUAUUCAAACUUUGGUUAGAAGAAAAAAGUUACGUUAUUUUCCAUUGUAUGACAGCUGAUUACAAUGUUUAAUAUGGAGAUUUCAGUACCUCGAUCAUCAUCUUGUUGUAUAUAAAUGAAUGUAUCCUGCCAGAUUGAAUUGUACCCACACACCCAGUGUAUCAAAGGUGUGUAUUGUUGUAUUUGACCUGAACUUAUUUCGAAGGUUUAAAGUAUAGUAGCUCUGAAUCUAGAUCAAGUCAAUAUUAGUUUUACUGGCCAUACAACAUCCACAAUGUAUUAAAUGCCCCCUGAGCAUUGUGAAAAAUGUGUUAUUUUUCAGCAUUAUUUAUCAAAUUUCUGUAUCGAUGUGAUGUCCUAAAUUGAAACCUUUUUUUAAAUCUCUCCAAAAAUGUGUUUAACUGACGACACUUUUUCGAACUUUACGCAAUGUGUACCAGUGUAACUUAAGUACAUAACUCUCACGACCCCAUCUACAGGUCUAUUGUCAGAGGGAGAACUGCAAGAUUUAAAUUCGGGAGGGUCAGAUUACUUUACGGUAAAUAUAGAGAUAAUUUUACAUCAGGUGUUGGGUACAUUUUUUCCCUCUUUUUUGACAUCAAUAGAAUAACUUAGGAGGCUAUUAUCAAAAGUUAUUUUGAAAGUUGAAUAUGGUAACAAACAAUUUUUACAAAAAAUCCUUAGCAGUUAAUUUUCCAUCUAUCUACUUCUAAUUUCUUGAAUCAUGUGAAAUGAUUAUAUUAGGCACCAUGCCCACUACAGAGUAACAAUCUGCCCUUUUGUUUUUCUCACAUAUUCCUCCACAUAAUUUAUCACCUUGGCAACUACAUGUGUGAACGAGUUUUACAUGUAUAUGUAAUUUAUCCCACGUGAAACUGCUGUAGGGAAUAUCUAUAGGAUGGUUAGGUUAUAUGUAGAACUGAGAAUGAAUUACAUGUAUAAAGGGGGGGGGGGGGGGCACAGAAUUUCUUAAUCAAUGGGGAAGAAUGUUGUUCAGUUUUGGUGCAUGAUGAGUGAAAUGAGAAACACUGUAUGUAUUUGCUACCAUGGUAACUGUGGAAUAUGAAUCUCAUUCAGGUCUCAUAAUAAUGGGUUUUUGUUUUUUUUUUAAGUUGAGAACUUGUUCAUUUAUCAAUGGCAUUUUUUUUUUUUUUUUUUACAAUCUGUAUACAAUUAGAUGUGAACUUGUGAUGUUGAUUUAAAGACAACAUAUCAAGUAUUUUUGUUUGUGUAAUUAAGUUUCAGUGAUGUAAAUGAGUUAUACCAUUAUGUACUUUAUUUUGAAAGCUUGUGUGUGUAUAUUUCAUUACAGUCUGGUGCUAAAUUUUUGUAUUAUAUAGCAUUGUUUGAUUGCGGAGUUGUAUUUAUAUGUUAUAUUAUUCCAAGAGAUUCUUUUCCUUAAUUUCUUGUUUGUGUGCCUUUAUCAAUAAACUAGUCAUACUAUU